UACGGGGGAUGCAAGCGUUAUCCGGAAUUAUUGGGCGUAAAGCGUCCGCAGGUGGUGAAUCAAGUCUGUUGUUAAAGAGUGGAGCUUAACUCCAUAAAGGCGAUGGAAACUGAUUGUACUAGAGUUAGGUAGGGGUAAGAGGAAUUCCCAGUGUAGCGGUGAAAUGCGUAGAUAUUGGGAAGAACACCGGCGGCGAAAGCGUCUUACUGGGCCUAAACUGACACUGAGGGACGAAAGCUAGGGGAGCGAAAGGG
RNAcentral lists this ribosomal RNA (254 nucleotides) under uncultured bacterium. RNAcentral's name for it is "partial 16S ribosomal RNA". It matches the Rfam family "Bacterial small subunit ribosomal RNA", at positions 524 to 776 of the family's 1533-position model. The record is from RNAcentral.